CUCCGGUUGAUCCCGCCGGACCUGACUGCUAUCGGAUUGGUACUAAGCCAUGCGAGUCGUUGUAGCAAUACAAGGCGGACGGCUCAGUAACACGUAGUCAACCUAACCUAUGGACGUGGAUAACCUCGGGAAACUGAGAAUAAACCGCGAUAGAUCAUUAUGCCUGGAAUGGCUUAUGGUUCAAACAAUUUAUUGCCGUAGGAUGGGACUGCGGCCUAUCAGCUUGUUGGUGAGGUAAUGGCCCACCAAGGCUAUAACAGGUACGGGCUCUGAGAGGAGAAGCCCGGAGAUGGGUACUGAGACACGGACCCAGGCCCUAUGGGGCGCAGCAGGCGAGAAACCUUAGCAAUGUGCGAAAGCACGACUAGGUUAAUCCGAGUGAUUUCUGUUGAAGAAAUCUUUUGUCAGUCGUAAAACCACAGACGAAUAAGGGGUGGGCAAGUCUGGUGUCAGCCGCCGCGGUAAUACCAGCACCUCGAGUGGUCAGGAGGUUUAUUGGGCCUAAAGCAUCCGUAGCCGGCUACGCAAGUCUCCGGUUAAAUCCAGCUGCUCAACAGAUGGGCUGCCGGAGAUACUACAUAGCUAGGGAGCGGGAGAGGUAGACGGUAUUCUGUGGGUAGGGGUAAAAUCCACUGAUCCAUAGAGGACCACCAGUGGCGAAGGCGGUCUACCAGAACGCGUUCGACGGUGAGGGAUGAAAGCUGGGGGAGCAAACCGGAUUAGAUACCCGGGUAGUCCCAGCUGUAAACGAUGCAAACUCGGUGAUGCAUUGGCUUAUGGCCAAUGCAGUGCCGCAGGGAAGCCGUUAAGUUUGCCGCCUGGGAAGUACGGACGCAAGUCUGAAACUUAAAGGAAUUGGCGGGGGAGCA
This 869-nucleotide ribosomal RNA is filed under the name uncultured archaeon. Its description in RNAcentral is "bacterial SSU rRNA". It matches the Rfam family "Archaeal small subunit ribosomal RNA", at positions 1 to 878 of the family's 1478-position model. The record is from RNAcentral.